GGGGCAUAAGCUUUGUUGGCGAAGCACCAGACUUUUAAUCUGGGGAGCGGAGUUCGAUUCUCCGAUGCCCUA
This 72-nucleotide transfer RNA is filed under the name Hyphomicrobiaceae bacterium. Its description in RNAcentral is "tRNA-Lys". It matches the Rfam family "tRNA". From Rfam's summary of the family: Transfer RNA (tRNA) molecules are approximately 80 nucleotides in length. Their secondary structure includes four short double-helical elements and three loops (D, anti-codon, and T loops). The record is from RNAcentral. Lineage: Bacteria; Pseudomonadati; Pseudomonadota; Alphaproteobacteria; Hyphomicrobiales; Hyphomicrobiaceae.